RNAcentral lists this unclassified non-coding RNA (200 nucleotides) under Pleosporales sp. RNAcentral describes it as "partial internal transcribed spacer 2". The record is from RNAcentral. Lineage: Eukaryota; Fungi; Ascomycota; Dothideomycetes; Pleosporales.
UUAAGUUCAGCGGGUAUCCCUACCUGAUUCGAGGUCAAACUGGGUGGUAUCUUAAUGGACGAGAUCCCGCCGGGAGCCUUCCCUAGCGCAUUGUGCUGCGCGAGAAGCCGGCGAUGUCGCUGCCAAUGGAUUUGGGGCGAGUCGUCACACGAAGCGAGGACAGACGCCCAACACAAGCAAAGCUUGAGGGUGUAAAUGAC